RNAcentral lists this long non-coding RNA (237 nucleotides) under Lathyrus oleraceus (garden pea). Its description in RNAcentral is "Pisum sativum (pea) long non-coding RNA (PSAT_LNC016595)". The record is from RNAcentral. Lineage: Eukaryota; Viridiplantae; Streptophyta; Magnoliopsida; Fabales; Fabaceae.
UGGUUGAACUAGACAAAUUAUGGUAUUAGGAGAUGACUUUGAGUGAAAAAAAUUGUAUCCAAGGCGUGGUAUUUAUAGAGACGGAACAUCAAUGGUACAAAACACGUGGGCGUCUGAGGGAUUGGCGCCCACACAACCAAUCACACAUAGGCGCCAGAUAAAUUGGCGCCCACACCAACCAAACACACACAGACGCCACUAGCAUUGGCGCCUCCUCAUGAGGGUCCAAUGCAUGCG